GGGAAGGGGAGGGAGAGAGGGCUAGAAAUCUGUUCUAAGUCUGGUUUUAUUUAAUGUCUAUCUACGAUCUGGAAGGAAGCAGUAAACACCACAUUCAUUCAAUUUAUGUUUGAUGUAAUGACUCGUAUGAAUUAGAGGGGUGUUGUGUAAACCAAUGGGGACAGACACAAAACACAGAGAAACCUAGACAGGCUGGAAAUAACAAAGUGAGAGCCAAGUGGAUGGGCAAAAGACAACGAUCUGCAGGAGGAAGCACAGCCUAAAGUGCAGAUAUGAAGCGGAGAAAUGUGCUUAAAGAAGGGAGACAGAAGGUCCUAAUAAUGGCUGAGUCCAGCAAACUGGCUGUGAGCUUGUGGAACAGAGUCAUCCCAAAGGAAGACAGAGGGAUCUGCAACAUAUCUUCAGAGCACAGUUCCCAUAACAGUGACUAUUCACCAGGUUGCAGCUGUCAGGGUUUCCAGAAGAGCAGUCACCAUCUGCAAAAAGUUCUGAGUUAAGUGAGCAGCCCAUCAUUUCAUAGGAAUGAUGUUCAAGAUAAUAACAACAAAAUACAUAAUAGCAACAAAGUCCAAUACCAGGACAACACGCAGUUUCCCAAACCACAGUACAAUCCUUUCCUAUCUUGAAAUCCUCCACCAUCACCCUCCAAAUUCCGCAGUUUCUGAAUGAGGUAACCAUGAUUCAUCCCACAGCAGGUCCAUCCUGUGCAGUGAAGAAAAACCACAAAAAAACCUCAGUCUGUGGUCACACGAUUAUAAACUGUAUGACAAUGCACACAAUGGACCUGAAUUAUGGCAGCUUUAGUUCUGGCUUGCUCUGCCUUGGCUUGACGGUUACGGUGUUCUUUUCUUAUGGGUUUAUUUUUUUACAGUUUCAAAUAAUUCCUUAGGUUUUUACAAAAGCAAACUGGAAAGAUAAAUUCCUCGUAUGGAACCAGCUGAUCCGCAGCUGGGUAAACAGCAGAACUGGAACUCUUAUAUCCUCUGCACAUUUCAGCAGGUCUAUGGAGAUAUCCUGGCAGAGUUGCUAAUAACAACACAUUAAAUACCAUCUUCAGGUGGCAUUUACAUUUACAUAUCUUCAGACAUGGUUUAAGCAUUCCAGAAGGAAACAAUGGUACAUCCUCUUUUCUUGAAAAAAGAUAUUCCUCAAACAGACUUUUAUCUCCUUCUGUCACUUCAGCUUCUUUCCCUCAGGUUUUGUUAUUUUUAUAGCAUAACAGCCUGCUAACUAUCCCCUAGUUAGACUAAAAUAAAGUCACGUUGUUAAAAGUGGGUCAUUUGGCUACAUCUGUCUGCACUGAUGCCAGGGACAAAUAACCCAUGGUGGACAGGAAAUUUAUUCCUGAAGCUGUGCUCAGUUCCUGUGCUGAUUUCUGAACCUGAAGUAAAACCAAGAGCAUAGAUUUCAGUUCUGAUCUUCCACACGUUUUAUGUACAUCCAACUCCACUGAAUCCUGCAUAGUUGUUUCCAGAUAACUAACACCAGUGGGUACACUAGUAAGUAAAAAUAGGUUUGUAUAAAUGCAUUUUAUCAUUUAAGUAUGGCCAGUUUCCCAUGUUAAAAGAUCAUACAUGAUCUAAUACUUAUAUCUACGCAAUAAGGCCCA
RNAcentral lists this long non-coding RNA (1609 nucleotides) under Gallus gallus (chicken). The record is from RNAcentral. Lineage: Eukaryota; Metazoa; Chordata; Aves; Galliformes; Phasianidae.